CAGCAGCCGCGGUAAUACCGAGGGUGCGAGCGUUAAUCGGAUUUACUGGGCGUAAAGCGUGCGUAGGCGGCUUCUUAAGUCGGAUGUGAAAUCCCUGAGCUUAACUUAGGAAUUGCAUUCGAUACUGGGAAGCUAGAGUAUGGGAGAGGAUGGUAGAAUUCCAGGUGUAGCGGUGAAAUGCGUAGAGAUCGGGAGGAACAUCAGUGGCGAAGGCGGCCAUCUGGGACAACACUGACGCUGAGGCACGAAAGCGUGGGGAGCAAACAGGAUUAGAUACCCCAGUAGUCCCUGUCUCUUAUAC
This 301-nucleotide ribosomal RNA is filed under the name uncultured bacterium. RNAcentral's name for it is "partial 16S ribosomal RNA". It matches the Rfam family "Bacterial small subunit ribosomal RNA", at positions 509 to 807 of the family's 1533-position model. The record is from RNAcentral.